UAGAUAUUAAGUUAAUUAAACUGUAUGUUUCAUGUGCAUAAAAUGUUGUAGUAGUUUACACAUAUCUUU
This 69-nucleotide transfer RNA is filed under the name Schistosoma spindalis. Its description in RNAcentral is "Schistosoma spindale tRNA-Met". Lineage: Eukaryota; Metazoa; Platyhelminthes; Trematoda; Strigeidida; Schistosomatidae. The record is from RNAcentral.